Nicotiana attenuata is the source of this 1737-nucleotide long non-coding RNA. RefSeq lists it as uncharacterized. The transcript has 3 exons. The record is from RefSeq and is a predicted model, not a curated record. NCBI's taxonomy places the organism in Eukaryota, Viridiplantae, Streptophyta, Magnoliopsida, Solanales, Solanaceae.
UAUUGUAUCUGUUCAUUUUUCCUGUUCUCCUUCUCGUCAAAGUAUGUUUCGGCCGAAUAAAUAUAUUCUCGUAGCAGAUAAUUUUUAGGAGUAUUAACUGGAAUUUAUCUUUUUCAAUGUUCCCCGAUUUGGAGAUUUUUUGUUUUCUUCUACAUAUUUCAAUUUCUACCGACAUAAAGCUGAUUUUAAGGAGUUUUAGCUAGUAUUGAAGAAUUGUACCGCAAUACCCUAAGUAGAGUAGAAUUAUGCUUUUUAGAUAUUGAGAUGGAUAGUUCACCCUUGUACUUAUGGUCUUUUAUGAAAAGGGAGAUGGUGAGAUUCAGAUUAUUCCUUUGCACUUGCCUCCUGGUGAUACAUCACAAGAGAGGACCAUACAAAUUGAUGGAUCAAGUGAUCAGAUUGAGGCUGAAAAGUAGCUGGUGUAUGAAGUGAUUAGUGAGGGAUGUGUAACUGGAUUAAUAUUCUUCAGUUUCUAUUCUUUCCAAUUAUUAUAGAGAGAAUAUGAUAGGCAGAUGACUUUGCCGUCGAGAUGAUACAUAACCUCCUUUUGAAUGUUAGAAGUAUUUAUGUUUGUGUGUUAUUUGGUGACAUAUACCUGUACUUUGUUAAUGUAUAUGUGGAUUUUGCAUUGCGGAAGUGCACUUGAUUUAUUUAGUCUUCUAAGAGCUGCUUUUGUAGCUCUCUUGAUCUUGAGUUUUAAAGUUCUUCUAUCAACACCUUGAAAAGGCAAUAGGAUAUUAAUUUUUUCAGCAGUGGUGGAUUUCCUAACACAUCAAAAUUACAUAUUGCAUUUAUUGCUAGAGAAUCAUGAAUGAGUGAUCCUAAAUCCAAAUUUAUCAGGAUGGUCAUUAUUUAUGUCUAAAAGUUUCAUGUAUGUAUAUUGAUUUUAUCUACCUAUCUGUCCUUGUCUCGCUGGAAAUUCAUAGUGUUUGCAGAUAUCAUUUUGCUAAUCCUCUUUUUGGACUACAGCUUCAGUUAAUGGGAAUUGUAGUUUGUUUCCAAUGAUCCAUGGAUGAAGGAGAUUGGCUCUUGAUGUGCUUCAUUUUUGGAAGGAAGUACUCAUAUUCCUAACUGGACAUAUUCUUUCUAGUUGAAAAUAGGUCCUUCAACGUAUGUUACUCCACCUGAAAUAUAACUCCAUUACAUUAUGGAUGAAUAGUUUGUUAUCCAGAGAUAUAAAAUAUAUCUGUAGUGUGACAGAGCACCUAUCUAUGUCUACAUUUUUUCCCAUUGGUUUCUUCUAAUUAGUUGGAUGUUGCUGGAGCAAGAGAAUAGGUUUCUACCUGAAGACAGAGCACCUAUCUAUGUCUAUACUUUUUUCUCUCUGCUUUGAUAUCCUUCACUUCAAAUAGGGUGAGGAUGGGCAUCCGCCAGGAGUUUGUACUCCCAACCAUGGAGUUCCUACAUCUGAUAGAUUGCUAUUGAGCUCCUCAAUAUUGGAAUUUCUCGGCCCAUCUCAAGAUCAAGAAUUUGAAGUCAUGAAGAAUCAUCUUUGAGAUAGUGUAAAGCGAGUUGAAUUUGAAAGAAGAAGUUGAAGUACAAGAAGAACCUACUUUAUUUUUCUAGCGGUUGUUUACAUAUGUUUCCAUUUGUACAUGCGACAAUUCCAUUUUUGUUUUCUCUCAGUGGAAAAAUAAUAAUAUCAUACAAUUUGGAUGUGUAUACAUUCUGUAAUGUGACUCUUUAGUUCUUUGUAAUUAAAGAGUGAUGUUUUAUAUGAGCAUUGACUAUUUUGUA